GUCGAGCGAACGGACGAGAAGCUUGCUUCUCUGAUGUUAGCGGCGGACGGGUGAGUAACACGUGGAUAACCUACCUAUAAGACUGGGAUAACUUCGGGAAACCGGAGCUAAUACCGGAUAAUAUUUUGAACCGCAUGGUUCAAAAGUGAAAGACGGUCUUGCUGUCACUUAUAGAUGGAUCCGCGCUGCAUUAGCUAGUUGGUAAGGUAACGGCUUACCAAGGCAACGAUGCAUAGCCGACCUGAGAGGGUGAUCGGCCACACUGGAACUGAGACACGGUCCAGACUCCUACGGGAGGCAGCAGUAGGGAAUCUUCCGCAAUGGGCGAAAGCCUGACGGAGCAACGCCGCGUGAGUGAUGAAGGUCUUCGGAUCGUAAAACUCUGUUAUUAGGGAAGAACAUAUGUGUAAGUAACUGUGCACAUCUUGACGGUACCUAAUCAGAAAGCCACGGCUAACUACGUGCCAGCAGCCGCGGUAAUACGUAGGUGGCAAGCGUUAUCCAGAAUUAUUGGGCGUAAAGCGCGCGUAGGCGGUUUUUUAAGUCUGAUGUGAAAGCCCACGGCUCAACCGUGGAGGGUCAUUGGAAACUGGAAAACUUGAGUGCAGAAGAGGAAAGUGGAAUUCCAUGUGUAGCGGUGAAAUGCGCAGAGAUAUGGAGGAACACCAGUGGCGAAGGCGACUUUCUGGUCUGUAACUGACGCUGAUGUGCGAAAGCGUGGGGAUCAAACAGGAUUAGAUACCCUG
This 746-nucleotide ribosomal RNA is filed under the name uncultured Staphylococcus sp. Its description in RNAcentral is "bacterial SSU rRNA". It matches the Rfam family "Bacterial small subunit ribosomal RNA", at positions 61 to 789 of the family's 1533-position model. Lineage: Bacteria; Bacillati; Bacillota; Bacilli; Caryophanales; Staphylococcaceae. The record is from RNAcentral.